AUGGCGCCGUUGCGCGCCCGAGGAACACAUGGUCCUCGCCUGCCGUGCUGUACCAGGCAAUGCCAUGCCCGUGCGUCCACCGCCGCGGGCGGCGCGGCCACGCACCACCGGGGCCGAUCCUAUCCUUUCCCCGAGCGCCGCAGAAAAGCACGCCGUGUCGCCAGGCCCAACCUCCGUACGUCCCGCUCGCGGCCGAUCGACAUGGGAGACAACGACGCUCGUCCACGCAGCCACGCGCCCUCCCGGCGACGGGACACGUCGCCGGCGCGUCGAGCGGCACGCGAGAGACCGAUCGGUCGGUCCAUCGAUCGUCACGCGUCUUUCCGGGAGCUGGGGCUCGAGUCGAGCGCGCCACGCGCCGGCGCCUGA
RNAcentral lists this ribosomal RNA (369 nucleotides) under Triticum aestivum (bread wheat). Its description in RNAcentral is "partial small subunit ribosomal RNA". Lineage: Eukaryota; Viridiplantae; Streptophyta; Magnoliopsida; Poales; Poaceae. The record is from RNAcentral.